Molecule: ribosomal RNA, 253 nt
Filed under: uncultured bacterium
Lineage: Bacteria
Description: partial 16S ribosomal RNA
Rfam family: Bacterial small subunit ribosomal RNA
Source: RNAcentral
UACGAAGGGGGCUAGCGUGGUUCGGAUUUACUGGGCGUAAAGCGCGUGUAGGCGGGUCGUUAAGUUGGGGGUGCAAUCCCGAGGCUCAACCUCGGAACUGGCUUCAAAACUGGCGACCUGGAGCAAGAUAGAGGCGAGUGGAAUUGCGAGUGUAGAGGUGAAAUUCGUAGAGAUUCGCAGGAACACCAGUGGCGAAGGCGAUUCGCUGGAUCUUUGGUGAAGCUGAGACGCGCAAGCGUGGGGAGCAAACAGG